Molecule: long non-coding RNA, 1294 nt
Organism: Oncorhynchus keta (chum salmon)
Lineage: Eukaryota; Metazoa; Chordata; Actinopteri; Salmoniformes; Salmonidae
Exons: 2
Source: RefSeq, a predicted model, not a curated record
CGCACAAGGAACACAACUAGAAUGCAAAUGGAGAGUUUAUUAGGGAGUUUUGCACACUGGGGAAAAGGGGGGAAUUCACCAACCAUUUCACAGUCCACAAGCAGUUCUCGUUGUCUGUUCCGUUCCCCAGGGGUAAUCCUAAAACUUGGGUCCUCAGCCAAACUGGUUUGGUUCACAGUGGGCGUAAUCAGACAGUCCAGGUCACAACGGGUAAUCACACAGCUAUUUCUUUCUCUUCUCACGCUCUUCAUACCACACACUUCCCUCUUCAUUCUCUGCCCCUUUGUGCAUGUUGCUUCCUCUUUCAUCCCCAAGCACUCCCUGGCUUAAUGGUCCCAGGCUCGCCUCGUUGGGGAAGGAAAUCCAUAUAAGGAUCGGGGGUGGAGCCAGGUCUCUAUAGGUGACCAGGAGAUUCUCUCUACCACAUGCAAAUUCCUCCGUGCAGAUCAGAUGUGUAGCCAUGCAUGCUAUUUUGGCGGUUCACAACAUUGGCCAUACAGAUGUGGAAUGUGAGUGGAGAAAGCCAGCCGUGCCCAGCCAGGUGCAGACAGUUAGUGAAGGACCUGUACCCGGCUGAAGACUACAACCCUCUGUUCCGAGAGCCUACUGAUGAGGAUCUUCAGUGGCUAAGAAGCCAUCUCCGGGCCAGGUUCAGUGGAAUGGCAAGUCUCCUUGAACUUGAGCUCGAACAACCGCUACCCUCCUUGUUGUCCCUGUCUAUCUCGGACAUUGUGGAAAAACAAGGGCACCUGGGGCAUGCAGGCAUCCUGGCUGGCAUGGCGCUGUCGGUGGAGCAGCAGGAGGCUACACGGCAAGCAAGAGUUGGACAGCUCACCAACCCCAACUGGCACACCAUUUAGGAGAGGGAGGUUGAAGACCAUCCUCACUGGAACAAGGUCCAAGGUCAGCUCCACAUCACUGGAAGGGACACCUGCUUCUUCGUUGUGUAGACUCCAUCACCGUCCCCAUCCAGCGUGACAACCUCUGACAGACUCAUAUUGUUCCUUCUGUCAGUCCCUGUUUUCAGGGAAGCUAAUGUUCCAAAUAUAUUCCACGUAGUUCAUACACACACUAGGCUCCCAGAAUAAGUUAUAUUACAUACAAGUUUUGCUCAAAGCAGCCAACUAAAGUAACAUAGUAAACUUCAUGGGCACAGUGGGAAUUUAUAUCUAUGAAGUUCAAAUGAUUUCUUACUUCCUGUGUCUUACUUGCUGAAGGCCCCAGUCAUCUCUGCCUGUACCUGACAUUGUUGAAAAAUACAUUAACAAUUAAUAAAGAUUAUACACAAACAAUA